UACGUAGGGGGCAAGCGUUGUCCGGAUUUAUUGGGCGUAAAGAGCUCGUAGGCGGCUCGGUAAGUCGGAUGUGAAACCUCCAGGCUCAACCUGGAGACGCCAUCUGAUACUGCCGUGGCUUGAGUCCGGUAGAGGAGCAGGGAAUUCCUGGUGUAGCGGUGAAAUGCGCAGAUAUCAGGAGGAACACCGAUGGCGAAGGCAGGUCUCUGGGCCACUACUGACGCUGAGGAGCGAAAGCAUGGGGAGCAAACAGG
RNAcentral lists this ribosomal RNA (254 nucleotides) under uncultured bacterium. Its description in RNAcentral is "partial 16S ribosomal RNA". It matches the Rfam family "Bacterial small subunit ribosomal RNA", at positions 524 to 776 of the family's 1533-position model. The record is from RNAcentral.